UAUGUAGGGUGCAAGCGUUAAUCGGAAUUACUGGGCGUAAAGCGAGCGCAGGCGGUCGUGUAAGACAGAUGUGAAAUCCCCGGGCUCAACCUGGGAACUGCAUUUGUGACUGCACGGCUAGAGUGCGUCAGAGGGGGAUGGAAUUCCGCGUGUAGCAGUGAAAUGCGUAGAUAUGCGGAGGAACACCGAUGGCGAAGGCAAUCCCCUGGGCCUGCACUGACGCUCAUGCACGAAAGCGUGGGGAGCAAACAGG
RNAcentral lists this ribosomal RNA (253 nucleotides) under uncultured bacterium. RNAcentral describes it as "partial 16S ribosomal RNA". It matches the Rfam family "Bacterial small subunit ribosomal RNA", at positions 524 to 776 of the family's 1533-position model. The record is from RNAcentral.